This 75-nucleotide transfer RNA is filed under the name Candidatus Omnitrophota bacterium. RNAcentral's name for it is "Candidatus Omnitrophica bacterium tRNA-Gln". It matches the Rfam family "tRNA". Rfam says of the family: Transfer RNA (tRNA) molecules are approximately 80 nucleotides in length. Their secondary structure includes four short double-helical elements and three loops (D, anti-codon, and T loops). Lineage: Bacteria; Pseudomonadati; Candidatus Omnitrophota. The record is from RNAcentral.
UGCCCUGUCGUCUAAUUGGUAGGACACAAGAUUCUGGUUCUUGCGAUUAUGGUUCGAGUCCAUACGGGGCAGCUA